UAACUAGAACUCUGUGAUGGAAUAAAAAUGUGAGCUUCUCUAAUACCUCAGUAACCCAGUCCUUAGGGAGUUGAGCUUCCUUUUAGUGUUGAAUUAUGUGUAAACAGGGUGACAGCCAAUCUGAUCUUGGUUUGGAGUGAGUGGUGCUGGCAGUGGCUAAGGACGAACUAGCAGCACUGUUUCAAGUAUAGCCGCCUGGAGAAAAGGCAGAAAUAUAUGUUUUUUCAACUGAAGAGUUUGUACUACUGGCCCUGGAGACCCAGGAACCCUACUUGCCUUCUGGUUGGGCAAGAGGAAUAGCUUCAUCUUAACCACCUCUCUGUAUAUAUGAGCUCAGCCUGCUAUAGAAAAAUACGAGGCUGGGUGGCUUCAACACCACACAUUUAUUUUCUCAUGGUUCCGGAGGCUGGAAGUCCAAGAUCAAGAUAAAACAUAAGAAACAGUGGUUUUCGAUGUACUGGGCAUCAGGCAACGAAAGAAACUAAUCCCAAGUGAAUGGAAGAAGGUGGUGAGCCCUGUGAAUAUUGCAGCUUACUGUUGUGAUAGAAUUUCCAGACCACUGUUUAGCGUUACAGCUAAUAAAUCAACAAAUCAAAUCAUACAAAUACUCAAUCUAAAGGAAGGCAGAAAAAAAGGGAAAUAGGGAAGCAAGAAUCAACAGGACCAAGAGAAAACUAAUGGCAAAAGUGAUGGGACAUAAUGUCAUCAGUAGCAGUCGUCAAAAGAAAGUGGGAGUGACCUCAGAGCACAAGGUAUUCCCAGGAAUAAAGCAGCCCAUUUCAUAAUGACAAGGGAGUCACUUUGUCAAGGGAACUAUUAGAACCCUAAAUGCACCAAAUAAAGAACAGAGCUUCAAGAUUAAAAAGCAAAAAAAAAAAAAAAAAAAAA
This is a long non-coding RNA of Canis lupus familiaris (dog), 888 nucleotides long. RefSeq lists it as uncharacterized. The transcript has 2 exons. Lineage: Eukaryota; Metazoa; Chordata; Mammalia; Carnivora; Canidae. The record is from RefSeq and is a predicted model, not a curated record.